GCUUGCUUCCCCUUGGUGUUCUGCCAUAAUUUUUAUCAUUUCUGGAUUGCUGUCUGUCAUUUUGGGAAGAAAAUCAAACAAGCAUCUGCCCUGCCCAGUCCUGGGUGGAGAAACUACCAGAACCACAUCUCCUGUCUCUCCCACCAUAAGUCUCUGCUUCAUUCACGCAUUCAUGUACCAUGCAUUCAGCAAGCAUUUGCCUGUAGGCUUGCGGAGCUCUGAGAGGAGUCGGGAGUGAACAAAAUUAAUCAAAUCGUAUGACAGAAGAGGAAGUCCCAUCCUGCCAAGGGUCCUAGAUGUGAGAACCUGCUGCCGACCUGGUGGGAUCGUGGUGCCCCAGGAGCAUGAACUGCUCAGGAGCAGACCCUGACCAGAUCCCCCGCAGGCCUGGAACAGCCUGAUCAGCAGCCUCCUAAGCCCUGUGGCCGCCACAGUGGGCCUCAUUGUCCUUCCCUAUCACCUGGCCGGGGUGUUCUCGGCUGCCAGACAGUGCCAACUGGUGGUGCCUCCCCAUCAGUGUCCCAAGACAGCCACUACUUUCCGAAGAAUGAGACCACCAGCUGCUUUGUGGCCAGCUCCAGCUUACUGAAUGUGUGUUUCCUGACCCAAAGUGACACAGUGAUCACCAGCAUGCCCCAGGCAGCAUUUGCUGACACUGUCCUGGAGAUGAACAAGGAGUGCACCCUUAGCGUGGGGGCAGAGAGAGAGAGCACAUUGUCUGCAGGAGUCAGCUGAAUGAUCUCACAGACCCCACCUGCUGGGCUCUUCCAUUUUAUCACAAUUGCUCCGCCUGUUCACAUGCAGAGAGAACUCUUGGGGCAGAUUUUAAGACCUUAGAGAGUAACUUGUUUACAAAUAAAAUAUCUCUUUGAUGACG
This 877-nucleotide long non-coding RNA is filed under the name Pongo abelii (Sumatran orangutan). Its description in RNAcentral is "lincRNA". Lineage: Eukaryota; Metazoa; Chordata; Mammalia; Primates; Hominidae. The record is from RNAcentral.